RNAcentral lists this ribosomal RNA (429 nucleotides) under uncultured bacterium. RNAcentral describes it as "bacterial SSU rRNA". It matches the Rfam family "Bacterial small subunit ribosomal RNA", at positions 355 to 776 of the family's 1533-position model. The record is from RNAcentral.
UGGGGAAUUUUGGACAAUGGGCGCAAGCCUGAUCCAGCCAUGCCGCGUGAGUGAAGAAGGCCUUCGGGUUGUAAAGCUCUUUCGGUGGGGAAGAAAUUGCACUUGUUAAUACCGAGUGUAGAUGACGGUACCCGCAUAAGAAGCACCGGCUAACUACGUGCCAGCAGCCGCGGUAAUACGUAGGGUGCGAGCGUUAAUCGGAAUUACUGGGCGUAAAGCGUGCGCAGGUGGUUGUGUAAGUCAGAUGUGAAAUCCCCGGGCUCAACCUGGGAACUGCAUUUGAGACUGCACGGCUAGAGGAUGGCAGAGGGGGGUAGAAUUCCACGUGUAGCAGUGAAAUGCGUAGAGAUGUGGAGGAAUACCGAUGGCGAAGGCAGCCCCCUGGGCUAUUACUGACACUCAUGCACGAAAGCGUGGGGAGCAAACAGG